Molecule: long non-coding RNA, 1161 nt
Filed under: Homo sapiens (human)
Lineage: Eukaryota; Metazoa; Chordata; Mammalia; Primates; Hominidae
Description: HSALNT0060474
Source: RNAcentral
UGUGGGAGAAAAUAUUUGCAAAUCAGAAAUUCUGAUAAAAGAUCUAAUCCAGAAUAUGUAAAGAACUCUAAAACCUCAAUAAUGAGAAAACAAUAUAAUUUAAAAUGGGCAAAAGAUCUGAAGACACUUCGUCAUAGUAGAUAUACAGAUGGCGAACAAACACGUGAAAAGAUAUUCAUCAUCAAAACUAACAGGAAAGUGGAAAUUAAAACCCCUAGAUAGCAUUACACACACAUUAGAAUACCCAAAAUCCAGAAACAGACAACAAAUCCUGGUAAUGUGGAACAAGAAAUCUCAUUUGUUACUAGUGGGAAUACAAAAUGGCACAUUCAGUUUAUAAGAAACUGCCAAGGCUGGGGCGGUGGCUCACAUGGAUGAAUCUUAAUGCAUUCUGUUAAGUGAAAAAAGCCAGACUCAAAGUGUUACAUGUUGUAUGAUUCCAUUCACAUGACUUCUGGAAAUGGCAAAACUAUAGUGAUGGAAAAUGAUUAGAUUGCCAGCAGUUGGUAGUGAGGGGAGUUGUUGAUUAUAAAGUGGAAGCAAAGCGAAAUUUUUAGGGUAAAGGAGUUGUUGUGUAUGGUACUAUAGGAUACAUGUGUCAUAAAUUUGUUUAAUAUAGUUGCUGCCUCAGCAUUCAUCCUUAGGCUUGACAUAAGUUUCUGAAAUGCCUCUCACCCUUGGCAUAGUUAAAACUUCUCCUUGCUGUGUGGCUGUUUGCCAUAUGGCCUGCUUCUUCCUCAUCUCAUUGACCCAAAGCCCACAACAUUCCAAACUGCAGAUCAUAAUAAAACCUAACAGUCAACACCAGAGUCAUACAAAUAAGUUUCCCCUUUCACUCCUGUUUUCUUUAACUUAGCCAAUCUACAAUCUACAACCCCCAAGGGAAAGAUAAUGCCCAUGAACCUUAAUAAAGGCACAGUCCCACAGGUCCUUCCUCCCUUUUUCUUUCCUUCUCUCUUACUCCCCUAUCCUCUGGUUGAGCUCCCUGCCACCUCCAGUCUUCCCACUGCCACCCCUCAGCAACCUUUCUGCACUCUGCAAAUUACAAAUUUCUUCUCUCUCAUGCAUUUUGGUUUAACUUUCUUACUGUGUCUCACCUGACACACCUGAAUAUAACCCUUCCCUGCCAACCAGGGCUCUCCUAAAGAGUGGCUAUCCUGG